Molecule: ribosomal RNA, 526 nt
Filed under: soil bacterium Nali-S1A-M1LLLSSL-1
Lineage: Bacteria
Description: bacterial SSU rRNA
Rfam family: Bacterial small subunit ribosomal RNA
Source: RNAcentral
UGAGUAACGCGUGAGGGAUGUGCCUUGAGGUGGGGAAUAACUGUGUAAAACUACAGCUAAUACCGCAUAAGCCCUUCGGGGGAAAGAUUUAUCGCCUUUGAAGCAGCCCGCGUCAAAUUACCUAUGUGGUAGGGUAAUGGCCUACCAGAGCGACUAUCUGUAGCUGGUCUGACAAGAUGACCAGCCAAUCUGGAACUGAUACACGGCCACGACUCCUCCGGCAGGCACCGAUGGGGAAUAUUGAAUAAUGGGCGCAGGCCUGAUCCAGCCAUGCCGAGUGAGUGAUGACGGCCUUACGGUUGUAGACCUCUGUUAGCAGGGACCAUUAUGACUGUACCUGUAUAAUAACCCCCGGCAAACUUCUUGCCAUCAACCUCGGUAAUACUAACGGGGCUAGCGUAGUUCGGAAUUACUGGGUCUAAAGCGCACGUAGGCGGAUUUUUAAGUCAGGGGUGAAAUCUCGAGGCUCAACCUCGGAACUGCCUUUGAUACUGUAGAUCUUGAGUUCGGAAGAUGUUGGUGGAAC